This 301-nucleotide ribosomal RNA is filed under the name uncultured bacterium. RNAcentral describes it as "partial 16S ribosomal RNA". It matches the Rfam family "Bacterial small subunit ribosomal RNA", at positions 509 to 807 of the family's 1533-position model. The record is from RNAcentral.
CAGUCGCCGCGGUAAUACGAAGGGUGCAAGCGUUAAUCGGAAUUACUGGGCGUAAAGCGUGCGUAGGCGGUUUGUUAAGUCUGUUGUGAAAUCCCCGGGCUCAACCUGGGAAUGGCAAUGGAUACUGGCAAGCUAGAGUGCGUCAGAGGAUGGUGGAAUUCCCGGUGUAGCGGUGAAAUGCGUAGAGAUCGGGAGGAACAUCAGUGGCGAAGGCGGCCACCUGGGACAACACUGACGCUGAGGCACGAAAGCGUGGGGAGCAAACAGGAUUAGAUACCCCGGUAGUCCCUGUCUCUUAUAC